ACGGACGCUACUGACGGAAGAAAAUUGUGUUUGAUGACGGAUUUGUUUACUCGUACCUACAAGCAAUUGAAAAUUGGUUAUUAGUCAUACCCACAGUAUUCGCAAUUUAUUAUGUAUUGCUAAUACAGUAAUACUCCGAAGUUACGUCGUAAAUUCUUUCGCAAUAAACAACGUUAGUUGAUACGACCUAAGCGAGCGCCUGAUGCUUAGGAGCAGCUGAGGAGAGUCAAAAUGAGAUUAGGCCAAACAGACGCAAGUGCGAAAUAAUGUAAGUCAAGGGGUGACUGUAAAUGUUUCCGACUCCCUGCGAAAGCCUUUUUGCAAUUUUCACCACAGGCGAUGUAAAAAAAAAAGUGUGACAAGUGCCAUUCCGAACAGUUCCUUUGACACUUGUUUUAUAAUUCUUCAUUGCUACGUGAUUUGGCAAUAACUUUUUUCUUUGCUGCGUAAGGAAACCAUUUACUCUUGUAGGGAUUCAGGGAUUUCUGAACGACCUUGUAUUACGUAUGGUGUUUUGUUUUUACUGAGCUGGUAGUCAUAAUACCGUUUAUUACGCCACAACUCGUCACGUUAAAAAGGAAGACGUGAGUCGUGACUAUCGUAAAUCAAGAGAACAUUUUAUAGAGAAAAAAAGUAUGUUCAAAUAACUGAUUUCACAUAACUUACCUGUUCUCACUGUUACUGUAGGUCUUCAAAGAUCCCGGUUGUGUGAAUAAAGGACAUAUAUGAGCCGCUCAGUGCACACAUCGAUUAACUCCACUUUUUGAAAAAUCUUAAAUUUAAGUGUCAAAGCACUUGGUAUAGUCAUAACUUUUUAUAUUUAUAAUAACUUCCGUGAAUAAUAAAGA
Cephus cinctus (wheat stem sawfly) is the source of this 848-nucleotide long non-coding RNA. RefSeq lists it as uncharacterized. The record is from RefSeq and is a predicted model, not a curated record. The transcript has 3 exons. NCBI's taxonomy places the organism in Eukaryota, Metazoa, Arthropoda, Insecta, Hymenoptera, Cephidae.